Molecule: ribosomal RNA, 497 nt
Filed under: uncultured bacterium
Lineage: Bacteria
Description: partial 16S ribosomal RNA
Rfam family: Bacterial small subunit ribosomal RNA
Source: RNAcentral
GAUGAACGCUGGCGGCGUGCCUAAUACAUGCAAGUCGAGCGAACGGACGAGAAUCUUGCUUUUCUGAUGUUAGCGGCGGACGGGUGAGUAACACGUGGAUAACCUACCUAUAAGACUGGGAUAACUUCGGGAAACCGGAGCUAAUAUCGGAUAAUAUUUUGCACCGCAUGGUUCAAAAGUGAAAGACGGUCUUGCUGGCACUUAUAGAUGGAUCCGCGCUGCAUUAGCUAGUUGUUAAGGUAACGGCUUACCAAGGGAAGGAUGCAUAGCCGAACUGAGAGGGGGGUCGGCCACACUGGAGCUGGGCCACGGUCAAGACGCCUGAGAGAGGCACCAGUAGGGAACGUUACGCAGUGGGCGAAAGCAUGACGCAGCAAGCCCAAGCGAGUGACAGAGGUGUUGGGUGCGGAAAAACCUGUUAUUGGGGAUAAACAUAUGUCUAAGGAGAUGUGGAGAUAUUGACGGUAACUAAUAAGAAAGCAACGGCUAACUACGUG